Molecule: ribosomal RNA, 780 nt
Filed under: Lysinibacillus sphaericus
Lineage: Bacteria; Bacillati; Bacillota; Bacilli; Caryophanales; Bacillaceae
Description: bacterial SSU rRNA
Rfam family: Bacterial small subunit ribosomal RNA
Source: RNAcentral
GGGCGUGCGGCGUCCUAAUACAUGCAAGUCGAGCGAACAGAGAAGGAGCUUGCUCCUUUGACGUUAGCGGCGGACGGGUGAGUAACACGUGGGCAACCUACCUUAUAGUUUGGGAUAACUCCGGGAAACCGGGGCUAAUACCGAAUAAUCUGUUCCACCUCAUGGUGGAACACUGAAAGACGGUUUCGGCUGUCGCUAUAAGAUGGGCCCGCGGCGCAUUAGCUAGUUGGUGAGGUAACGGCUCACCAAGGCGACGAUGCGUAGCCGACCUGAGAGGGUGAUCGGCCACACUGGGACUGAGACACGGCCCAGACUCCUACGGGAGGCAGCAGUAGGGAAUCUUCCACAAUGGGCGAAAGCCUGAUGGAGCAACGCCGCGUGAGUGAAGAAGGUUUUCGGAUCGUAAAACUCUGUUGUAAGGGAAGAACAAGUACAGUAGUAACUGGCUGUACCUUGACGGUACCUUAUUAGAAAGCCACGGCUAACUACGUGCCAGCAGCCGCGGUAAUACGUAGGUGGCAAGCGUUGUCCGGAAUUAUUGGGCGUAAAGCGCGCGCAGGCGGUCCUUUAAGUCUGAUGUGAAAGCCCACGGCUCAACCGUGGAGGGUCAUUGGAAACUGGGGGACUUGAGUGCAGAAGAGGAAAGUGGAAUUCCAAGUGUAGCGGUGAAAUGCGUAGAGAUUUGGAGGAACACCAGUGGCGAAGGCGACUUUCUGGUCUGUAACUGACGCUGAGGCGCGAAAGCGUGGGGAGCAAACAGGAUUAGAUACCUUGGUAGUC